Molecule: ribosomal RNA, 253 nt
Filed under: uncultured bacterium
Lineage: Bacteria
Description: partial 16S ribosomal RNA
Rfam family: Bacterial small subunit ribosomal RNA
Source: RNAcentral
UACAGAGGGUGCAAGCGUUGUUCGGAAUUAUUGGGCGUAAAGGGCGCGUAGGCGGCGUGUCAAGUCGAUUGUGAAUCUCCGGGCUUAACUCGGAACGGCCAAUCGAUACUGACGUGCUAGAGUGCAGAAAGGGCAAUCGGAAUUCUUGGUGUAGCGGUGAAAUGCGUAGAUAUCAAGAGGAACACCUGAGGCGAAGGCGGGUUGCUAGGCUGACACUGACGCUGAGUGCGCGAAAGCCAGGGGAGCAAACGGG